AUACGGAAGGUCCGGGCGUUAUCCGGAUUUAUUGGGUUUAAAGGGAGCGCAGGCGGAGAUGCAAGCGUGACGUCAAAUUUCGGGGCUCAACCCCGUCUCGCGUCGCGAACUGCGUCCCUUGGUUGCGGGAAGGGGAGGCGGAACUCGUGGUGUAGCGGUGAAAUGCAUAGAUAUCACGAAGAACUCCGAUCGCGAAGGCAGCCUUCCGGCCCGUCAACGACGCUCAUGCUCGAAGGUGCGGGUAUCAAACAGGAUUAGAUACCCUGGUAGUCCGCACAGCAAACGAUGGACACCCGCGGUUUGGCCUAUAUGGCUGAGCCGCCAAGCGAAAGCGUUAAGUGUCCCACCUGGGGAGUACGCCGGCAACGGUGAAACUCAAAGGAAUUGACGGGG
This 393-nucleotide ribosomal RNA is filed under the name uncultured bacterium. RNAcentral's name for it is "partial 16S ribosomal RNA". It matches the Rfam family "Bacterial small subunit ribosomal RNA", at positions 523 to 918 of the family's 1533-position model. The record is from RNAcentral.